GUCUUUAAAAGCUAUAAGAAAUGCUAGAACUCAUUCAUUCUCAACCCUCUUCUCCAUGAAGGAUUAAAUUCCAUGGAAGAAUCUUUGCAUCAUCAGUAACUAAGAUGAGAACAUUGACAGGCUGCUGAUAGUAUUCCCAGAUGACAUCACCGACACACUAGAUGAUGAAGCAGAAUCCAGUAAUUCAGUUUAACAACUAUUUACUGGUCACCAAGGAGGAGUCAGGGUCAGCUACUUCCAGGAUGUGAAGAGUUCCUUACUAUAGGUGUUGGACACUGGCUACAGGUACCAACAUGUCAUGCCUUUCAUGUAGAAUUUCUGUUCUUAUUACUAACAUCACCUCAGCACUCUUC
RNAcentral lists this long non-coding RNA (353 nucleotides) under Vulpes vulpes (red fox). RNAcentral's name for it is "lncRNA (ENSVVUG00000015650.1)". Lineage: Eukaryota; Metazoa; Chordata; Mammalia; Carnivora; Canidae. The record is from RNAcentral.